GGAGAGGUGGCUGAGUGGCUUAAGGCAACAGUUUGCUAAACUGUCGUGUGUUAAUUUGCACCGUGGGUUCAAAUCCCAUCCUCUCCU
RNAcentral lists this transfer RNA (87 nucleotides) under Reclinomonas americana ATCC 50284. RNAcentral's name for it is "tRNA-Ser". It matches the Rfam family "tRNA". From Rfam's summary of the family: Transfer RNA (tRNA) molecules are approximately 80 nucleotides in length. The record is from RNAcentral. Lineage: Eukaryota; Jakobea; Jakobida; Histionidae.